UUGUGAACUACUUGUCCCGCAUCCAUCGUGAGGAGGACUUCCAGUUCAUCCUCAAGGGUAUAGCCCGGCUGCUGUCCAACCCCCUGCUCCAGACCUACCUGCCUAACUCCACCAAGAAGAUCCAGUUCCACCAGGAGCUGCUAGUUCUCUUCUGGAAGCUCUGUGACUUCAACAAGAAAUUCCUCUUCUUCGUGCUGAAGAGCAGCGACGUCCUAGACAUCCUUGUCCCCAUCCUCUUCUUCCUCAACGAUGCCCGGGCCGAUCAGUGUAAGACCAGGGUGGGGUGGGAUGCUGGGGGCUUUCCUGGCGGCGAGGUGGAGGGCUGGCCAUCUGCCCUGCCUCCCAGGAGCUCAGGCCUGGCACUCUGACCUCCCAGGAGAGAGGCCCCCAAAAUGGUCCCUGCCUGGGCCCCUCCUUCCCCCUCCCACCCGAGUGACCCCUCCCACGCCACCUGCCGCAGCUCGGGUGGGCCUGAUGCACAUAGGCGUCUUCAUCUUGCUGCUUCUGAGCGGGGAGCGGAACUUCGGGGUGCGGCUGAACAAGCCCUACUCGAUCCGCGUGCCCAUGGACAUCCCAGUCUUCACCGGGACCCACGCCGACCUGCUCAUUGUGGUGUUCCACAAGAUCAUCACCAGCGGGCACCAGCGGCUGCAGCCCCUAUUCGACUGCCUGCUCACCAUCGUGGUCAACGUGUCCCCCUACCUCAAGAGCCUGUCCAUGGUGACCGCCAACAAGUUGCUGCACCUGCUGGAGGCCUUCUCCACCACCUGGUUCCUCUUCUCUGCUGCCCAGAACCACCACCUGGUCUUCUUCCUCCUGGAGGUCUU
RNAcentral lists this small RNA (827 nucleotides) under Pongo abelii (Sumatran orangutan). RNAcentral's name for it is "retained intron". Lineage: Eukaryota; Metazoa; Chordata; Mammalia; Primates; Hominidae. The record is from RNAcentral.